This 391-nucleotide long non-coding RNA is filed under the name Homo sapiens (human). RNAcentral's name for it is "HSALNT0295769". The record is from RNAcentral. Lineage: Eukaryota; Metazoa; Chordata; Mammalia; Primates; Hominidae.
CCUGUUUCUACUUGCCCUGUAGAGCAGUUGCCUCCUGUUGGUCCACCCUACUGGAAGUCUGAGCUGGGCAGAGAAGCACCAAAAGUGGAGCUGGAGGAGCAAACAGAAUAUCCAGCACACUGCAGAAAGCUGAGAUUGGUAUUCUUCUACCGCAUGGCUACUCCUGCCACCAAGGGGAACACAGAGUAAAGUGACAACACUAAUUCAGGCUCCAUCAUGGUGACCAGGGAUUAGAAAAUAACCGCAAAGAGGCUCUGGAGAAUUUGGGAAGGUAAGAAAUGUAUUCUAAGAGGGGACUGAGGUGAUGGCUGCAAAAUUCUAUAUAUCUACUUAAAUGACUAAAUUCUACAUUUACAGUUAGUGACUUUUAUUACAAGUAAUUUUUUAAAUG